Molecule: ribosomal RNA, 253 nt
Filed under: uncultured bacterium
Lineage: Bacteria
Description: partial 16S ribosomal RNA
Rfam family: Bacterial small subunit ribosomal RNA
Source: RNAcentral
UACGUAGGGUCCGAGCGUUGUCCGGAAUUACUGGGCGUAAAGAGCUCGUAGGUGGUUUGUCGCGUUGUCCGUGAAAACUCACAGCUUAACUGUGGGCGUGCGGGCGAUACGGGCAGACUGGAGUACUGCAGGGGAGACUGGAAUUCCUGGUGUAGCGGUGGAAUGCGCAGAUAUCAGGAGGAACACCGGUGGCGAAGGCGGGUCUCUGGGCAGUAACUGACGCUGAGACGCGAAAGCGUGGGGAGCAAACAGG